GAAGUAAAAGUCGUAACAAGGUUUUGGUAGGUGAACUUGCGAAAGGAUCAUUAUCGAGUCGAGGGCUGUAGCGGCCCGAGCCUCCCAAACCACGUGUCGAGCCACCUACACGCUUGCUUUGGCGGGCUUGCCCGGGGGACACUCCCGGGGCCCGUCGGCAGCCCAUUCGAACGCGUUGAACCUCGCUCCCUCGGGGGCGUCUGAGCCCGCAAGCGAAUGCAAUAGACCCCAAAAAAACUUUCAACAACGGAUCUCUUGGCUCUGGCGUCGAUGAAGAACGCAGCGAAAUGCGAUAAAUAAUGUGAAUUGCAGAAUUCCGUGAAUCAUCGAGUCUUUGAACGCACAUUGCGCCCCCUGGCAUUCCGGGGGGCAUGCCUGUUCGAACGUCGUUCGAUCCCCCGGGCUCGGCCCGGUCUUGGGGGCCCCUGCGCUCGCCCCGCAUGGGCGGGCUCCCCGAAAGUCAGCGGCGGAGCGCGCCGGGUCAGGAGCGUCGUGACGAUCCAAUCUCGUAGCCUCGACCCGGGCGCCCCGGCCGGAAGCUCGCGCGGUUCCCGGGGAAGCAUCACACCUCUCCCGGGGGCUGCGCAGACGGUUUCACUUCGGAUCAGGCAAGGAUACCCGCUGAACUUAAGCAUAUCAAUAAGCGGAGGAAAAGAAACCAACCGGGAUGGCCCCAGUAACGGCGAGUGAA
Molecule: small RNA, 691 nt
Filed under: Ascomycota sp. KWS 12
Lineage: Eukaryota; Fungi; Ascomycota
Description: eukaryotic LSU rRNA
Rfam family: 5.8S ribosomal RNA (bases 236-389)
Source: RNAcentral